This 565-nucleotide ribosomal RNA is filed under the name Escherichia coli. Its description in RNAcentral is "bacterial LSU rRNA". It matches the Rfam family "Bacterial large subunit ribosomal RNA", at positions 1232 to 1791 of the family's 2925-position model. The record is from RNAcentral. Lineage: Bacteria; Pseudomonadati; Pseudomonadota; Gammaproteobacteria; Enterobacterales; Enterobacteriaceae.
GGGAGCGUUCUGUAAGCCUGUGAAGGUGUACUGUGAGGUAUGCUGGAGGUAUCAGAAGUGCGAAUGCUGACAUAAGUAACGAUAAAGCGGGUGAAAAGCCCGCUCGCCGGAAGACCAAGGGUUCCUGUCCAACGUUAAUCGGGGCAGGGUGAGUCGACCCCUAAGGCGAGGCCGAAAGGCGUAGUCGAUGGGAAACAGGUUAAUAUUCCUGUACUUGGUGUUACUGCGAAGGGGGGACGGAGAAGGCUAUGUUGGCCGGGCGACGGUUGUCCCGGUUUAAGCGUGUAGGCUGGUUUUCCAGGCAAAUCCGGAAAAUCAAGGCUGAGGCGUGAUGACGAGGCACUACGGUGCUGAAGCAACAAAUGCCCUGCUUCCAGGAAAAGCCUCUAAGCAUCAGGUAACAUCAAAUCGUACCCCAAACCGACACAGGUGGUCAGGUAGAGAAUACCAAGGCGCUUGAGAGAACUCGGGUGAAGGAACUAGGCAAAAUGGUGCCGUAACUUCGGGAGAAGGCACGCUGAUAUGUAGGUGAAGUCCCUUGCGGAUGGAGCUGAAAUCAGUCGAA